RNAcentral lists this ribosomal RNA (626 nucleotides) under uncultured bacterium. RNAcentral's name for it is "bacterial SSU rRNA". It matches the Rfam family "Bacterial small subunit ribosomal RNA", at positions 338 to 1414 of the family's 1533-position model. The record is from RNAcentral.
CCUACGGGAGGCAGCAGUGGGGAAUUUUGGACAAUGGGCGCAAGCCUGAUCCAGCAAUGCCGCGUGCAGGAUGAAGGCCUUCGGGUUGUAAACUGCUUUUGUACGGAACGAAACGGUCCUUUCUAAUAUAAGGGGCUAAUGACGGUACCGUAAGAAUAAGCACCGGCUAACUACGUGCCAGCAGCCGCGGUAAUACGUAGGGUGCGAGCGUUAAUCGGAAUUACUGGGCGUAAAGCGUGCGCAGGCGGUUAUAUAAGACAGAUGUGAAAUCCCCGGGCUCAACCUGGGACCUGCAUUUGUGACUGUAUAGCUAGAGUACGGUAGAGGGGGAUGGAAUUCCGCGUGUAGCAGUGAAAUGCGUAGAUAUGCGGAGGAACACCGAUGGCGAAGGCAAUCCCCUGGACCUGUACUGACGCUCAUGCACGAAAGCGUGGGGAGCAAACAGGAUUAGAUACCCUGGUAGUCCACGCCCUAAACGAUGUCAACUGGUUGUUGGGUCUUCACUGACUCAGUAACGAAGCUAACGCGUGAAGUUGACCGCCUGGGGAGUACGGCCGCAAGGUUGAAAACUCGAAAAGAGAGUUAGACGACGUGAGACGAGACGACGACGACGACGAGGGAGGAGG